This is a long non-coding RNA of Olea europaea var. sylvestris, 410 nucleotides long. RefSeq lists it as uncharacterized. The transcript has 3 exons. The record is from RefSeq and is a predicted model, not a curated record. Lineage: Eukaryota; Viridiplantae; Streptophyta; Magnoliopsida; Lamiales; Oleaceae.
UUAUAAUCUUAUGUAGACUAAUUCAAUUUGCCUGAGAUUUUUCAUGUCUGUCCGUUUUCAAUUUUUGCAGUCUAUAAAAGACUAGAGACCAUUAUCUAUUGCAAGUCUACUACCUUGGUCUUUAUACAUCGGGAAAGCUGCAACAAAUGUUCCCUUCUUGGCCUAUGAAGUUCCAUCACACCCCAAGAGUAUAGGAAAGUUGAAAAUCAUGAGAAGAGAGUACUGAAAUAGUGAAUGCACUUUCAAGUAGUGGUGAGGGCAGUAGAUUGGAGCCAGAGUCUCCCAUGAGAUAAAAGGCUUUUCUUCUUCAAAUCAUCAUCAGGUGAUCGAUCAGAAGCAUAAAUGAGUAUUGAACUAAUGAUCAUCCAAUACUUCUACGUGCUCUUGCAGUAAUUAGUUUGCAGAAUAUA